Molecule: ribosomal RNA, 324 nt
Filed under: uncultured eukaryote
Lineage: Eukaryota
Description: partial 18S ribosomal RNA
Rfam family: Eukaryotic small subunit ribosomal RNA
Source: RNAcentral
CCCUUAGAUGUUCUGGGCCGCACGCGCGCUACACUGAUGCAUUCAACGAGCCUAUCCUUGACCGACAGGUCCGGGUAAUCUUUAAAUCCGCUCGUGAUGGGGAUUGACGGUUGCAAUUUUCUGUCAUGAACGAGGAAUACCUUGUAAGCGCGGGUCAUCAUCCCGCGCUGAAUACGUCCCUGCCCUUUGUACACACCGCCCGUCGCUCCUACCGAUUGAGUGGUCCGGUGAGGCUUUGGGAUCUGAGCGGAAAGAGCGUUUCGCUGUUUCUGCUCGGAAAACUCAGUCGAACCUUAUCAUUUAGAGGAAGGAGAAGUCGUAACA